GAUGAACGCUGGCGGCGUGCCUAAUACAUGCAAGUCGAGCGAACAGACGAGGAGCUUGCUCCUCUGACGUUAGCGGCGGACGGGUGAGUAACACGUGGAUAACCUACCUAUAAGACUGGGAUAACUUCGGGAAACCGGAGCUAAUACCGGAUAAUAUAUUGAACCGCAUGGUUCAAUAGUGAAAGACGGUUUUGCUGUCACUUAUAGAUGGAUCCGCGCCGCAUUAGCUAGUUGGUAAGGUAACGGCUUACCAAGGCAACGAUGCGUAGCCGGCCUGAGAGGGUGAUCGGCCACAGUGGAACUGAGACACGGUCCAGACUCCGACGGGAGGCAGCAGUAGGGAAUCUGCGGCAAUGGGCGAAAGCUUGACGGAGCAACGCCGCGUGAGGGAUGAAGGUCUUCGGAUCGUAAAACUCUGUUAUUAGGGAAGAACAAAUGUGUAAGUAACUAUGCACGUCUUGACGGUACCUAAUCAGAAAGCCACGGCUAACUACGUG
This 497-nucleotide ribosomal RNA is filed under the name uncultured bacterium. Its description in RNAcentral is "partial 16S ribosomal RNA". It matches the Rfam family "Bacterial small subunit ribosomal RNA", at positions 28 to 507 of the family's 1533-position model. The record is from RNAcentral.